AAGGCUUCGGCCUUAGUGGCGCACGGGUGCGUAACGCGUGGGAAUCUGCCCUUGGGUUCGGAAUAACAGUGAGAAAUUACUGCUAAUACCGGAUGAUGACUUCGGUCCAAAGAUUUAUCGCCCAAGGAUGAGCCCGCGUAAGAUUAGCUAGUUGGUGAGGUAAAGGCUCACCAAGGCGACGAUCUUUAGCUGGUCUGAGAGGAUGAUCAGCCACACUGGGACUGAGACACGGCCCAGACUCCUACGGGAGGCAGCAGUGGGGAAUAUUGGACAAUGGGCGAAAGCCUGAUCCAGCAAUGCCGCGUGAGUGAUGAAGGCCUUAGGGUUGUAAAGCUCUUUUACCAGGGAUGAUAAUGACAGUACC
Molecule: ribosomal RNA, 364 nt
Filed under: Blastomonas sp. '14.2 MW-32'
Lineage: Bacteria; Pseudomonadati; Pseudomonadota; Alphaproteobacteria; Sphingomonadales; Blastomonadaceae
Description: bacterial SSU rRNA
Rfam family: Bacterial small subunit ribosomal RNA
Source: RNAcentral